Molecule: ribosomal RNA, 1204 nt
Filed under: uncultured organism
Description: bacterial SSU rRNA
Rfam family: Bacterial small subunit ribosomal RNA
Source: RNAcentral
AACGGGUGAGUAACGCGUGGGUAACGUACCCUGAUCCUGGGAAUAACCCUCGGAAACGAGGGCUAAUACCGAAUGUGGCGAACGACCGGUUGGUCGCUCGCUAAAGGUGGCCUCUUCUAUGCUGCCGGGUUGGGAUCGGCCCGCGUCCCAUUAGCUAGUUGGUGAGGUAACGGCUCACCAAGGCCACGAUGGGUAGCCGGCCUGAGAGGGUGUACGGCCACACUGGCACUGAGACAAGGGCCAGUCCCCUAUGGGAGGCGCAGGCGGGAAUAGUUCACAAUGGGCGAAAGCCUGAUGACGCGACGCCGCGUGAGCGAAGAAGACCUUCGGGUUGUAAAGCUCUGUCAGGAGGGGAGAAGGCUCUACGGGUUAAUAGCCCGUGGAAUUGACGGUACCUCCAGAGGAAGCCCCGGCUAAAUACGUGCCAGCAGCCGCGGUAAUACGUAUGGGGCAAGCGUUGUCCGGAUUUACUGGGCGUAAAGGGCGCGUAGGCGGUUUGUUAAGUCGAAGGUGAAAUCCUCGGGCUCAACUCGAGAAUUGCCUUCGAUACUGGCAAACUAGAGUGGCGGAGAGGAAAGCGGAACUCUUGGUGUAACGGUGGAAUGUGUAGAUAUCAAGAGGAACACCGGUGGCGAAGGCGGCUUUCUGGACGCACACUGACGCUCAGGCGCGAAAGCGUGGGUAGCAAACAGGAUUAGAUACCCUGGUAGUCCACGCCAUAAUCGAUGGGUACUAGGUGUCGGGGGUAUCGACCCCUCUGGUGCCGCAGUUAACGCUCUAAGUACCCCGCCUGGGGAUUAUGGUCGCAAGGCUGAAACUCAAAGGAAUUGACGGGGCCCCGCACAAGCGGUGGAGCAUGUGGUUUAAUUCGACGCAACGCGAAGAACCUUUCGUGGGCUUGACAUGCUUGGGACAGCGCUGGAAACAGCGUCUCUCCUUCGGGAGCCCUUGCACAGGUGCUGCAUGGCUGUCGUCAGCUCGUGUCGUGAGAUGUUGGGUUAAGUCCCGCAACGAGCGCAACCCUCGUUACUAGUUGCCAUCAGUUCGGCUGGGCACUCUAGUGAGACUGCCGGUGAUAAUCCGGAGGAAGGUGAGGAUGAUGUCAAGUCAUCAUGGCCCUUACGCCCAGGGCUACACACGUGCUACAAUGGUCGGCACAAAGGGUCGCUAAGCUCGCGAGGUGGAGCUAAUCCCAAAAAGCCGG